CCCUUAGACGUUCUGGGCCGCACGCGCGCUACACUGACCAGUGCAACAAGCAUCCGUCCUUGGCCGACAGGCCCGGGCAAUCUUUGAACGCUGGUCGUGAUGGGGAUAGACUUUUGCAAUUUUUGGUCUUCAACGAGGAAUUCCUAGUAAACGCAAGUCAUCAACUUGCAUUGAUUACGUCCCUGCCCUUUGUACACACCGCCCGUCGCACCUACCGAUUGAAUGGUCCGGUGAAUAAUUCGGACUGCAGCACUGCUUGGUCUCCAGGCUUUGCAGCGGAAAGUUUAGUGAACCUUAUCACUUAGAGGAAGGAGAAGUCGUAACA
RNAcentral lists this ribosomal RNA (325 nucleotides) under uncultured eukaryote. RNAcentral describes it as "partial 18S ribosomal RNA". It matches the Rfam family "Eukaryotic small subunit ribosomal RNA", at positions 1470 to 1796 of the family's 1831-position model. The record is from RNAcentral.